This 445-nucleotide ribosomal RNA is filed under the name uncultured bacterium. Its description in RNAcentral is "partial 16S ribosomal RNA". It matches the Rfam family "Bacterial small subunit ribosomal RNA", at positions 331 to 793 of the family's 1533-position model. The record is from RNAcentral.
CCAGACUCCUACGUGAGGCAGCAUUUUUGGAUAUUGCACACUUGGGGAAACCCUUAUUCAGCGACUCCGCGUGAGUGAAUAAUUCCUUCGUUACUUCCCGCUCUAUCAGCCGGGAAGAAAAUGACUUUACCUGACUCCGCCGCCCCGGCUCCCUCCGUGCCAGCCUCCGCGGUAAUACGUAGGGGGCAAGCGUUCUCCGGAAUUACUGGGUGUAAAGGGAGCGCAUACGGCAGUGCAAGUCUGGAGUGAAAGCCCGUGGCGGAACCACGGGACUGCUCUGGAAACUGUGCAGCUAGAGUGCAGGAGAGGAAGGCGGAAGUCCUAGUGUAGCGGUGAAAUGCGUAGAGAUGAGGAGGAACCAAGGUGGCGAAGGCGGCAGGCUGGACUGUAAAUGACGUUGAGGCUCGAAAGCGUGGGGAGCAAACAGGAUUAGAUACCCGCGUAA